AUUGAACGCUGGCGGCAGGCCUAACACAUGCAAGUCGAACGAGUGGCGGACGGGUGAGUAAUGUCUGGGAAACUGCCUGAUGGAGGGGGAUAACUAAUGGAAAAGGUAGCUAAUACCGCAUACCAGCGGAUGUGCCCAGAGGGGAUUAGCUAGUAGGUGGGGUAAAGGCAUACCUAGGCUACGAUCCCUAGCUGGUCUGAGAGGAUGACCAGCCACACGGGAACUGAGACACGGUCCAGACUCCUACGGGAGGCAGCAGUGGGGAAUAUUGCACAAUGGGCGAAAGCCUGAUGCAGCCAUGCCGCGUGUAUGAAGAAGGCCUUCGGGUUGUAAAGUACUUUCAGCGGGGAGGCGUUACCCGCAGAAGAAGCACCGGCUAACUCCGUGCCAGCAGCCGCGGUAAUAC
This 406-nucleotide ribosomal RNA is filed under the name uncultured bacterium. RNAcentral's name for it is "partial 16S ribosomal RNA". It matches the Rfam family "Bacterial small subunit ribosomal RNA", at positions 30 to 526 of the family's 1533-position model. The record is from RNAcentral.